AUGCAACAAGGGCACCCCGUAGCUUACCUCAACAAAGCUCUAUCCCACAAGAACAAGGCUCUCAUCACUUAUGAGAAGGAAUGUCUUGCAAUCCUGAUGGCGGUGGACAAGUGGAGACCCUACUUACAAUAUCAGCACUUUCUCAUUCAUACAGAUUAGCAUGCACACUUGCACCUGACAGAUCAACAUUUGACUACCAGGAUUCAACAUAAAGCAUUUGUUAAGCUAAUGGGGCUCAACUAUACAAUCCAAUAUAAGAAAGGGAUCACUAAUGUUGUGGUUGAUGCGCUGUCGCGCCGCGAGCAUGAUGUUUCCUUAUGA
This 321-nucleotide ribosomal RNA is filed under the name Triticum aestivum (bread wheat). RNAcentral describes it as "partial small subunit ribosomal RNA". The record is from RNAcentral. Lineage: Eukaryota; Viridiplantae; Streptophyta; Magnoliopsida; Poales; Poaceae.